UACGUAGGUGGAUAAUUAAGUCAGAGGUGAAAUCCUGCAGCUCAACUGUAGAAUUGCCUUUGAUACUGGUUAUCUUGAGUCAUUAUGAAGUGGUUAGAAUGUGUAGUGUAGCGGUGAAAUGCAUAGAUACUACACAGAAUACCGAUUGCGAAGGCAGAUCACUAAUAAUGUACUGACACUGAGGGACGAAAGCGUGGGGAGCAAACAGGAUUAGAUACCCUGGUAGUCC
RNAcentral lists this ribosomal RNA (229 nucleotides) under uncultured bacterium. RNAcentral describes it as "partial 16S ribosomal RNA". It matches the Rfam family "Bacterial small subunit ribosomal RNA", at positions 568 to 796 of the family's 1533-position model. The record is from RNAcentral.